RNAcentral lists this ribosomal RNA (524 nucleotides) under uncultured bacterium. Its description in RNAcentral is "partial 16S ribosomal RNA". It matches the Rfam family "Bacterial small subunit ribosomal RNA", at positions 28 to 523 of the family's 1533-position model. The record is from RNAcentral.
GACGAACGCUGGCGGCGUGCUUAACACAUGCAAGUCGAACGAGACGAUUGAAAGCUUGCUUUCGAAAGUCGAGUGGCAAACGGGUGAGUAACGCGUAGACAACCUACCUCUUAGAUGGGGACAACAUCGCGAAAGCGGUGCUAAUACCGAAUGAAGUGACUUUCCUGCAUGGGAGAGAUACUAAAGGUGGCCUCUAUUUAUAAGCUACCACUGAGAGAUGGGUCUGCGUCUGAUUAGCUAGUUGGCGGGGUAACGGCCCACCAAGGCGACGAUCAGUAGCCGGGCUGAGAGGAUGAACGGCCACAUUGGGACUGAGACACGGCCCAAACUCCUACGGGAGGCAGCAGUGGGGAAUCUUCCGCAAUGGACGAAAGUCUGACGGAGCAACGCCGCGUGAGUGAAGAAGGUUUUCGGAUCGUAAAGCUCUGUUGUUUGGGACGAAUGUGCCUGUUUCGAAUAGGGAUAGGUAAUGACGGUAUUAAACGAGAAAGCCACGGCUAACUACGUGCCAGCAGCCGCCGUAA